This 466-nucleotide ribosomal RNA is filed under the name Streptococcus constellatus. RNAcentral's name for it is "bacterial SSU rRNA". It matches the Rfam family "Bacterial small subunit ribosomal RNA", at positions 28 to 470 of the family's 1533-position model. Lineage: Bacteria; Bacillati; Bacillota; Bacilli; Lactobacillales; Streptococcaceae. The record is from RNAcentral.
GACGAACGCUGGCGGCGUGCCUAAUACAUGCAAGUAGAACGCACAGGAUGCACCGUAGUUUACUACACCGUAUUCUGUGAGUUGCGAACGGGUGAGUAACGCGUAGGUAACCUGCCUGGUAGCGGGGGAUAACUAUUGGAAACGAUAGCUAAUACCGCAUAAGAACAUUUACUGCAUGGUAGAUGUUUAAAAGGUGCAAGAGCAUCACUACCAGAUGGACCUGCGUUGUAUUAGCUAGUUGGUGAGGUAACGGCCCACCAAGGCAACGAUACAUAGCCGACCUGAGAGGGUGAUCGGCCACACUGGGACUGAGACACGGCCCAGACUCCUACGGGAGGCAGCAGUAGGGAAUCUUCGGCAAUGGGGGGAACCCUGACCGAGCAACGCCGCGUGAGUGAAGAAGGUUUUCGGAUCGUAAAGCUCUGUUGUUAAGGAAGAACGUGUGUGAGAGUGGAAAGUUCACACA